Molecule: microRNA precursor, 168 nt
Filed under: Pelobates cultripes (western spadefoot toad)
Lineage: Eukaryota; Metazoa; Chordata; Amphibia; Anura; Pelobatidae
Source: RNAcentral
GCAGACACAUUCCAGCCAAUCAGCAGCAGACCCUCCCUCCCAGACCCUCCCACCUCCUGGACAGCAUCCAUUUUACAUUCAUUGUGAAGCUGCAUUCUUAGUGAGCUGACCAGGAGGUGGGAGGGUCUGGGAGGGAGGGUCUGCUGCUGAUUGGCUGGAAUGUGUCUG